Molecule: ribosomal RNA, 253 nt
Filed under: uncultured bacterium
Lineage: Bacteria
Description: partial 16S ribosomal RNA
Rfam family: Bacterial small subunit ribosomal RNA
Source: RNAcentral
UACGAAGGGUGCAAGCGUUACUCGGAAUUACUGGGCGUAAAGCGUGCGUAGGUGGUUUGUUAAGUCUGAUGUGAAAGCCCUGGGCUCAACCUGGGAAUGGCAUUGGAAACUGGCUGACUGGAGUGCGGUAGAGGGUAGUGGAAUUCCCGGUGUAGCAGUGAAAUGCGUAGAUAUCGGGAGGAACAUCCGUGGCGAAGGCGACUACCUGGACCAGCACUGACACUGAGGCACGAAAGCGUGGGGAGCAAACAGG